GACUGGUACAAGUGGAGUGGUGUUUACAAUUGAUCACAACCAGUUACAGAUUUCCUUUGUUCCUUCUCUACUCCCACUGCUUCACUUGACCAGUCUUAA
This is an unclassified non-coding RNA of Otolemur garnettii (small-eared galago), 99 nucleotides long. It matches the Rfam family "Y RNA". Rfam says of the family: Y RNAs are components of the Ro ribonucleoprotein particle (Ro RNP), in association with Ro60 and La proteins. NCBI's taxonomy places the organism in Eukaryota, Metazoa, Chordata, Mammalia, Primates, Galagidae. The record is from Ensembl.